Molecule: ribosomal RNA, 604 nt
Filed under: uncultured Lachnospiraceae bacterium
Lineage: Bacteria; Bacillati; Bacillota; Clostridia; Lachnospirales; Lachnospiraceae
Description: bacterial SSU rRNA
Rfam family: Bacterial small subunit ribosomal RNA
Source: RNAcentral
GACUAUCUUAGUGGCGGACGGGUGAGUAACACGUGAGCAACCUGCCUUACAGAGUGGGAUAACGUUUGGAAACGAACGCUAAUACCGCAUAACAUUAACUUAUCGCAUGGUAAGAUAAUCAAAGAAAUUCGCUGUAAGAUGGGCUCGCGUCUGAUUAGAUAGUUGGUGAGGUAACGGCUCACCAAGUCGACGAUCAGUAGCCGGACUGAGAGGUUGAACGGCCACAUUGGGACUGAGACACGGCCCAGACUCCUACGGGAGGCAGCAGUGGGGAAUAUUGCACAAUGGGGGAAACCCUGAUGCAGCGACGCCGCGUGAGGGAAGAAGGUUUUCGGAUUGUAAACCUCUGUCUUCAGGGACGAUAGUGACGGUACCUGAGGAGGAAGCUCCGGCUAACUACGUGCCAGCAGCCGCGGUAAUACGUAGGGAGCGAGCGUUGUCCGGAAUUACUGGGUGUAAAGGGAGCGUAGGCGGGACAGCAAGUUGAAUGUGAAAUCUAUGGGCUCAACCCAUAAACUGCGUUCAAAACUGUUGUUCUUGAGUGAAGUAGAGGUAGGCGGAAUUCCUAGUGUAGCGGUGAAAUGCGUAGAUAUUAGGAGGAACA